AAUCUCAAUUCAGACUGCAGGCUGCAGCUCGCCUGCACGAAGUCGGAAUUGCUAGUAAUCGUAGGUCAGCAUACUACGGUGAAUACGUUCCCGGGCCUUGUACACACCGCCCGUCAAACCAUGAGAGUUGGCAACACCCGAAGUCGGUAGUCUAACCGCAAGGAGGACGCCGCCGAAGGUGGGGUUGAUGAUUAGGGUUAAGUCGUAACAAGGUAAC
RNAcentral lists this ribosomal RNA (217 nucleotides) under uncultured bacterium. RNAcentral describes it as "partial 16S ribosomal RNA". It matches the Rfam family "Bacterial small subunit ribosomal RNA", at positions 1284 to 1500 of the family's 1533-position model. The record is from RNAcentral.